Molecule: long non-coding RNA, 660 nt
Filed under: Mytilus galloprovincialis (Mediterranean mussel)
Lineage: Eukaryota; Metazoa; Mollusca; Bivalvia; Mytilida; Mytilidae
Source: RNAcentral
CGAAUGGCUCAGAUUUUAAUUUGGCGGUAUUGUGCUGCAUGUCGGUCCGUUAUAGGUUUUUUGUCCAUUUUCGCACCGGAUUACCUCUGUUACAAUACAUGAACUGUAGUUAUAACCAGCGUUUUAUAGGGUUAAAAAUACUAUAUACUAUACCGACCUACAUCUGACUAGUAAAUUAAAUGACGAUAAACAUAAUUAGUCGACACCGUUUAUAAUUGUCUAGUAUGUGAUAAAAUGUUCUAUUUUCUGAUCGGGAAUCAAAUAUCGGAUCUUAAUAUUUUAAAUUGAUGUCUUGGGAAAGACAGCAACAUGAGUUACAAAUGUAGAAUUUAAAGAGUUUAACUUGUCUAGCCGUUUUGGCUUAAACUAUUGGCAAGAGGCCACCCAAACAAUACAUUCAGCAGGUGCGCGAACCAAGGUUUGGGCAAAAUGUUAUUAUUAUUAUUCUAGCCUUUGGAUUAGAUGACAUAGCCAUUACCUACUGGAAUAUAGGUCAAAUUCUUAUUUAUUUGAAACAUGCUUUAAACACAGCAGGGUGUGAAUACUGCAGAACGAGGGACAAGGUUUUCCAACAGUUGGUACGACUAGCUUUUGUUGUGUGACUUAAUUAAACUUCUACGCCAAAUUUUAGCCAUAUUUAAGGAUUAUUUCAGAAAUACG